Molecule: ribosomal RNA, 372 nt
Filed under: uncultured organism
Description: partial 16S ribosomal RNA
Rfam family: Bacterial small subunit ribosomal RNA
Source: RNAcentral
GUAGGUGGCAAGCGUUGUCCGGAAUUAUGGGCGUAAAGCGCGCGCAGGCGGGUUCUUUAAGUCUGAUGUAAAAGCCCACGGGCUCAACCGUGGAGGGUCAUUGGAAACUGGAGAACUUGAGUACAGAAGAGGAAAGCGGAAUUCCACGUGUAGCGGUGAAAUGCGUAGAGAUGUGGAGGAACACCAGUGGCGAAGGCGGCUUUCUGGUCUGUAACUGACGCUGAGGCGCGAAAGCGUGGGGAGCAAACAGGAUUAGAUACCCUGGUAGUCCACGCCGUAAACGAUGAGUGCUAAGUGUUAGGGGGUUUCCGCCCCUUAGUGCUGCAGCUAACGCAUUAAGCACUCCGCCUGGGGAGUACGGCCGCAAGGCUG